ACGCUGGCGGCAGGCCUAACACAUGCAAGUCGAGCGGUAGCACAGGAGAGCUUGCUCUCUGGGUGACGAGCGGCGGACGGGUGAGUAAUGUCUGGGAAACUGCCUGAUGGAGGGGGAUAACUACUGGAAACGGUAGCUAAUACCGCAUGACCUCGCAAGAGCAAAGUGGGGGACCUUCGGGCCUCACGCCAUCGGAUGUGCCCAGAUGGGAUUAGCUAGUAGGUGGGGUAAUGGCUCACCUAGGCGACGAUCCCUAGCUGGUCUGAGAGGAUGACCAGCCACACUGGAACUGAGACACGGUCCAGACUCCUACGGGAGGCAGCAGUGGGGAAUAUUGCACAAUGGGCGCAAGCCUGAUGCAGCCAUGCCGCGUGUGUGAAGAAGGCCUUAGGGUUGUAAAGCACUUUCAGCGAGGAGGAAGGCGCUGUAGUUAAUAGCUGCAGCGAUUGACGUUACUCGCAGAAGAAGCACCGGCUAACUCCGUGCCAGCAGCCGCGGUAAUACGGAGGGUGCAAGCGUUAAUCGGAAUUACUGGGCGUAAAGCGCACGCAGGCGGUUUGUUAAGUCAGAUGUGAAAUCCCCGAGCUGAACUUGGGAACUGCAUUUGAAACUGGCAAGCUAGAGUCUUGUAGAGGGGGGUAGAAUUCCAGGUGUAGCGGUGAAAUGCGUAGAGAUCUGGAGGAAUACCGGUGGCGAAGGCGGCCCCCUGGACAAAGACUGACGCUCAGGUGCGAAAGCGUGGGGAGCAAAC
This 751-nucleotide ribosomal RNA is filed under the name uncultured bacterium. RNAcentral's name for it is "bacterial SSU rRNA". It matches the Rfam family "Bacterial small subunit ribosomal RNA", at positions 33 to 773 of the family's 1533-position model. The record is from RNAcentral.